This 492-nucleotide ribosomal RNA is filed under the name uncultured bacterium. RNAcentral's name for it is "partial 16S ribosomal RNA". It matches the Rfam family "Bacterial small subunit ribosomal RNA", at positions 28 to 507 of the family's 1533-position model. The record is from RNAcentral.
GAUGAACGCUAGCUACAGGCUUAACACAUGCAAGUCGAGGGGAAACGACAUCGAAAGCUUGCUUUUGAUGGGCGUCGACCGGCGCACGGGUGAGUAACGCGUAUCCAACCUGCCCACCACUUGGGGAUAACCUUGCGAAAGUAAGACUAAUACCCAAUGAUAUCUCUAGAAGACAUCUGAAAGAGAUUAAAGAUUUAUCGGUGAUGGAUGGGGAUGCGUCUGAUUAGCUUGUUGGCGGGGUAACGGCCCACCAAGGCAACGAUCAGUAGGGGUUCUGAGAGGAAGGUCCCCCACAUUGGAACUGAGACACGGUCCAAACUCCUACGGGAGGCAGCAGUGAGGAAGAUUGGUCAAUGGACGAGAGUCUGAACCAGCCAAGUAGCGUGCAGGAAGACGGCCCUAUGGGUUGUAAACUGCUUUUAUAAGGGAAUAAAGUGAGUCUCGUGAGACUUUUUGCAUGUACCUUAUGAAUAAGGACCGGCUAAUUCCGUG